CCUACGGGCGGCAGCAGUGGGGAAUAUUGGACAAUGGGGGGAACCCUGAUCCAGCGACGCCGCGUGAGUGAAGAAGUAUUUCGGUAUGUAAAGCUCUAUCAGCAGGGAAGAAAGAAAUGACGGUACCUGACUAAGAAGCCCCGGCUAACUACGUGCCAGCAGCCGCGGUAAUACGUAGGGGGCAAGCGUUAUCCGGAUUUACUGGGUGUAAGGGGAGCGUAGACGGCGAUGCAAGUCUGAAGUGAAAGGCGGGGGCCCAACCCCGGCCCGCCGUUGAAACUGGCAGUCUCGAGUUGGAGAGAAGUAUGCGGAAUGCGCGGUGGAGCGGUGAAAUGCAUAGAUAUCGCGCAGAACUCCGAUUGCGAAGGCAGCAUGCCGGCUCCACACUGACGCUGAGGCACGAAAGCGUGGGUAUCGAACAGGAUUAGAUACCCCAGUAGUC
This 442-nucleotide ribosomal RNA is filed under the name uncultured bacterium. RNAcentral describes it as "partial 16S ribosomal RNA". It matches the Rfam family "Bacterial small subunit ribosomal RNA", at positions 338 to 795 of the family's 1533-position model. The record is from RNAcentral.